GCCAAUGUGGUGUAGUGGUUUGAGAAUUGGACUAUGACUCAAGUCCUGGGUUCGAAUCCCCACUCAGUCA
Molecule: non-coding RNA, 70 nt
Organism: Phrynosoma platyrhinos (Desert horned lizard)
Lineage: Eukaryota; Metazoa; Chordata; Lepidosauria; Squamata; Phrynosomatidae
Source: the annotation of a GenBank genome assembly